AUGGAUACUAAAACUAGUAGUAGUUAUUUUGUUUCAAGGUUUUUGUUUAGACUACUUGUAGUGGUGGGGUUUGUUUGUUUUAUGUUUUUUGGUAGCUUAGUGAGUGGUGGAAGAACACUACAAACAACAACAAGUACUACAAAACAUGAUGAUGAACAAGUUGUUGUUGUUGGUAACCAUGAUGCACAAUUGGAUUUCAAUUAUAUGAGUAAAAGAAGAGUUCCCAAUGGACCAGAUCCUAUUCACAACAGGAGAGCUGGAAAUUCUGGUAGACCACCUGGUCAAAGUUAG
Molecule: non-coding RNA, 291 nt
Organism: Vicia faba (fava bean)
Lineage: Eukaryota; Viridiplantae; Streptophyta; Magnoliopsida; Fabales; Fabaceae
Source: the annotation of a GenBank genome assembly